CCUACGGGUGGCAGCAGUAGGGAAUAUUGCUCAAUGGGGGAAACCCUGAAGCAGCAACGCCGCGUGGAGGAUGAAGGUUUUCGGAUUGUAAACUUCUUUUGUUAGAGAAGAUAAUGACGGUAGCUAACGAAUAAGCACCGGCUAACUCCGUGCCAGCAGCCGCGGUAAUACGGAGGGUGCAAGCGUUACUCGGAAUCACUGGGCGUAAAGAGGGCGGCGGCGGGAUAGCAAGUCAGAUGUGAAAUCCUAUGGCUUAACCAUAGUACUGCAUUUGAAACUGUUAUUCUAGAGUAUGGGAGAGGUAGGUGGAAUUCUUGGUGUAGGGGUGAAAUCCGUAGAGAUCAAGAGGAAUACUCAUUGCGAAGGCGACCUGCUAGAACAUAACUGACGCUGAUGCGCGAAAGCGUGGGGAGCAAACAGGAUUAGAUACCCUAGUAGUC
Molecule: ribosomal RNA, 440 nt
Filed under: uncultured bacterium
Lineage: Bacteria
Description: partial 16S ribosomal RNA
Rfam family: Bacterial small subunit ribosomal RNA
Source: RNAcentral